GAGAGAGAGAGAGAGAGAGAGAGAGAGAGAGAGUGGUGGAGUACACUGAACUGGAGAGUGAGGCACCCUGGGAAACCCAGAAGCGUCCCCCCCUCCCCCCCCCUCCUCCUGAUUGGCCCAGCAAAGGCCUGGUGACCUUUGACCAGGUCAGCUUCUCCUACAGCACUGAAGGACCGCUAGUGCUGCAGAGCCUGAAAGAGAAGGUUGGUAAUGUGUGUAGAACAGGUGCUGGGAAUAGCUCUCUGGUCUUGGCUCUCUUCCUCCUGGCUGAGCCUCGGGGGAAGAUCUACAUCGAUGGUGUUCUGACCUCAGAGAUCGGCCUCCACGACCUGCACAAGAAGGUUCUAGAUGCAGGGAAGAUGCAUGCCUAGGAUGAGCUUCAAGAUCCAGAUGGCAUCUUUUAUAAAAUGGUGCAGCAGACUGGCAAGCAGGAGGCAGCAGCUCUGCUAGAGGCAGCUA
Long non-coding RNA from Perca fluviatilis (European perch), 459 nucleotides. RefSeq lists it as uncharacterized. NCBI's taxonomy places the organism in Eukaryota, Metazoa, Chordata, Actinopteri, Perciformes, Percidae. The transcript is spliced from 3 exons. The record is from RefSeq and is a predicted model, not a curated record.